Molecule: long non-coding RNA, 252 nt
Organism: Pecten maximus
Lineage: Eukaryota; Metazoa; Mollusca; Bivalvia; Pectinida; Pectinidae
Exons: 3
Source: RefSeq, a predicted model, not a curated record
AUUGGAUGCGGCUGCGAGACACGGUCAUACUGGAAUUCUCAAGUUAUUAUUGAAGCAUGGUGCUGAUCCGAAUCAGUCCUUUGCCUUGGAUAGUGCGGUGGCAGGAGGCCAUACAGAGAUCGUACAAUUAUUACUGGAUCACGGUGUCAAGGCAGAUAGGCCCCGUAACUUGGAUACAGCGGUGGGAGGAGGCCAUACAGAGAUCGUACAAUUAUUACUGGAUCAUGGUCCCAAGGCAGAUAGGGUAUGUGU